Molecule: long non-coding RNA, 2446 nt
Organism: Sesamum indicum (sesame)
Lineage: Eukaryota; Viridiplantae; Streptophyta; Magnoliopsida; Lamiales; Pedaliaceae
Source: RefSeq, a predicted model, not a curated record
CCCUUUGUUUCUCUGCAUGUUUCCAAUAAGACACUCUCAAAAGUAUGUUCUUAGUUUCAUCUGAUUCCAUAUAUGGCUAAGGGCCCUAGAAAUGCGAUGGCAAUUGAUGAAUACAAUAGUCAGUUGCUGCAUGACUUGGUUGCUUAUUAUGGCAGUGAUGUUGAUUUUGAGCUUUGUAAAAAUAUAAAUUAUUAUUCUUUCUGCCUUACCACCAUAACAGCUGUCAGACUGCCAUCUAAUAGUUUUUUAAUUAGGUCUAUUUUUGUGAUAGAGAGAGUUUUCCAUAUUCAUAUAUGCUUGUUAACCUCAAGGAUUAAUUUUCACAGAAUGCCACCAGGUAAAAUAUGCAAAAAUUCUUACCUCUUUUGCUAGCAUUGCAUAGUGAAUAGAACCUUGCCUGAAGUUAAGCACACUGAAGUUGUGAAAGGUGACAAGGAUUUGAGGGCAUGGUAAUUACUGAAAGCGGACAAGCUCCAGAAGUAAAAUUGAGAGCUUGACGCACUUGCAAGUUUGUUCUCUCUCUGCACUUCGCGCAUAUACAUAUAAUAUGUAUAUAUUCACAAGUCAAAAUCAAAGCCUCUGCUAAUGUUAAAAAGGCAGAGGGGUAUUUUAUUCAGAACGCAUGUAUUUCUGAACUAAGAUAUAUUUUUGGUUUCAAUUAAUAGGUGCUUAAUUAUGUUCUAGUUCACUUAAUUAGUUUAUCAGUGGAUUUACAUGUGGUAACUGGAAUCUUCUCUGCCACAUAUGCGGUAGACAAGGCAGAAGAGACCUGUAUCCUAUAGCUGGGGAAGACUCAUCCAUUAUGGUUUGUCUUCCAUGUUCUACUUGUUGCGGAGUUGUUUUUUUCACUUAAACUGUGCACUUACUAGCCUUUUACAUGAACAAGGCUGACAUUUGUGCCUUCUCUAUGGCUGAAAAGCUUACAUAUUUGCACAAUACCGUGUCUCCAAAUUAUCUAUGAAGGCAAGAGGUGACUUUACCUUCUUAAGUAGUUAUAUGCCACUUUUAACAUGGUUGACCUUCUCUAUUUUUACAUUGUUAAAGUAGUCACCUUAGAGGUUAUGGAUCAACAUUUGCUAGCCCACAGUGUUGUGUUGUGUAUGGUGGAUGUCCAUGUGUCUUACAUGUCUUAUGCGAUGCUAUGUCUCUGUAUUCCAUGAAGAUUAAGGAGCAAAAUCACCAUGCCUCAGAUCAUCAUAGUACUAGAAUAGAAAAGACAUCUGAUGAAGAUAAUGCCAUAAGCAAUUGAAAAUGCUAAACAGCUGUUCUUGUCUUCACUAUCUACUUAAACUUUUAACAGCAAUGAGUGAUACUGCCUGCUUAUAGUAGUUUCAGUGAAGAAUGGCAGUAUGGAACUUCAUUCCCCUCAUUGCGUCAUCUCUUUGAAGAUGAUUUAUGCAUGUUUUGCUGUCCGAAAAUGGUGUUAGUUAUGAAUUUUAUAAUUAGCUUUCACUUCUUUACUCUUGUUUACAUGAAAAGAUUUUGCAACUACCUAUUUAACAUCUUCUGUCCCAGGAAUAUGCAUGGAAGUUGGUGACCUUUACCCUCCGACUGACAGAUUCUAAAUCCUGUAUUUAGGCCAGUAUUCUUUGUUAUUGUUGAUAGUGGUACUAAGCCCGACUCGCCGUCCUGAACUUUCAUGCGAACUACCAGUUUUUGUUGGUUGCAUGCUCAGUUGCAAUAACUGCAUAUCUACAUAGCUGUUUGCUUAAUUGAUAGCACUGACGUGGGGGAAACUUUUGUGAUUUGUAACCUAGUUUACAUGUAAAGCCGGGGUCAGUCGUGACCUCAUAACCGUGCUUGUUGAUGCUGCACCUAUUGCUUCGUGCAGUGGUGCAGCAUUCAUCGACACAUACUCCAUUUUUAAAACAUGGGGUGUGUAUAAUGGGAUGUUAUCUUCUCCCCCACAUAUAUGCAGCCUUGUGACUGUGUCAAUAUAUCGUCUAUAUCCACUUCAUAGCCCAUGCUACGAAUUAGGCAUCUUUCACUUGCUCUAGAAUGCGUAAACUCUACCUUAAUACAAACAAUGCAAUGUCUUGGUUUUUCUGGAACUCGUGGCCUUCAUCGUUUGGUUCAACUCCAGUCGAAUUUUAUCCCAAACGUGCUGCAACAUUGAACACACAGCAAUACCUUCUGCAUGUUUGAAAAUUCAUGGUGCCGUACAAUGGCUAAACUAUCAACUCAGCUGAAAGAGGGAACCGAGAAUGGAGAAGUUGGAUUGUGUUCGAACACGUACGGACGAUGGUCUCUGGAGCUGCUGAUGAAAAAUUGUAAUGUACUUGGGAUCUUUCAAUGGUGGUUUUUUGAUCUACGUAGCUUAAAUUGCAUUUAAUGAAUCAUCAGGUUAGAAAUAUUAAAUAUUAAAUAUUGUACAGUUUAAAUUUUUAAAUAAAAUGUAUUUAAUUCGGGGCAAAUUCGAGGUCCGGAGCUUAAUUUUAUUGUUACA